ACUGUGUCAGUAGAUCUGUGUGCCUUAAUCAAUAAUUUCAUGGGGGUCCAAGCCUGAAUUGGUGUUCUUGUGAGUUAUGAGAUAAUCUCUAAAAACUAAUGUAUUAUUGAUCGACUAUAACAAUCAGAUGGGAUCUCUUUAUAGUCACUACAAUAAUUCAGUCUCAUAAGAAUAGGCCAGCUAGAGUAGGUUUGCUAGGAACAGCAAAAAGUAGAAUCAAUACAAUUAUGCUCUAGAAUUAAAGCAAGACUAAAAAUAGGAUCAUCAUCCUGCUUGUUUUAUUGGUUUGAUUUAUGUUAAAAGGUUAGUUAUAUUGUGUCAUGUAUGUUUAUUUUUUUUCAAAAUAAUUUGUCAUUAUACUAUGUUCAUUCUAUUUCUUAUAUUAGCAUUUUUCUAGAGAUUGGACUUUAAUAAACUUGAUAAAACUUCCUUUAUGGCAUAGACAAUGUUCAUUUAUUCUAUGUAGAGAUGUGGACUCCAAAAACUAAUAUAUUUGGUGGAGGGUGACGUAAAUAGCUUGGAGGCUGCUGAAAGCAUCAAAACUGCACCAAUACAAGUGCAAAAGGAAGCAAGUUCAUCAUUACUGAAGAUCGAGUCAAAAAGAAGCUUAAGUGUAUUUUUGUACAUCUAAGGAUUAACGAUCAAGUGAAACUUAUGAUGCCUUUAUUCAUAUGGGGAACUCCCUGUAUUCUAUGAAAUAUGUUUCACAACAGAAAUACUGGAAGGGUUUGAUGUACAAAGGACGAGUGGUUUUGCUGAUACCGUGAGAAAAUAUGGCUCUCUCACAAAAUCUAUAAUGGACUACUACAGUGAGCAGUUCUGCAUUGGCAAGGUCAGGUACUCUAGGGUUUGCCUCUCAUAUGAGGAAUUUGUCAAUAAAUGUCAAGAUCUUGACAAGAUGACUGUUAAUGAUGUUUUUGCUCUUCAACUCAUGCAGGUUCCUCAGGUAACAGAAGAUAUUGCUCUUGCUGUUGUGGGCUGAUAUCCAACUGUUUUUUCCCUGGCACAGGCAUACUUUCAGCUGGAGGGAGACCAUCGCGGUCGGGAGGAGUUGCUGAAGAACAACAGUAAAUCCGUGAGCUCUUCAGCCCGCCGGAAUAUCUUCAAGCUUGUUUGGGGUGGCUGAUGCAACUUUUCUUCUGAUAAUCAGGACCUGACUAGGAAGACCAAUUGACCGCCCUGGAUAAUUCACGGUCAUAGUUGGUAUCUUGAUCCAUGGAUCAUGGAUCCAUGAUCCAUGAUCCAUGAUCCAUGAUCCAACAAGUUAUAGGGUCUUUGGAGCAUUCCCAUUCUUGCAUUGGGGGCGUCCUUGCAAAGGAAAAGACAAACUCCAGGAGUGGAAUAAAUGACUUGGAUGUAAUUGUUUUUGCUCUA
Long non-coding RNA from Zingiber officinale, 1374 nucleotides. RefSeq lists it as uncharacterized. The record is from RefSeq and is a predicted model, not a curated record. NCBI's taxonomy places the organism in Eukaryota, Viridiplantae, Streptophyta, Magnoliopsida, Zingiberales, Zingiberaceae. The transcript has 6 exons.